Molecule: ribosomal RNA, 394 nt
Filed under: uncultured bacterium
Lineage: Bacteria
Description: bacterial SSU rRNA
Rfam family: Bacterial small subunit ribosomal RNA
Source: RNAcentral
UGGGGAAUAUUGGGGCAAUGGGGCGCAAGCCUGACCCAGCAACGCCGCGUGAGGGAAGAAGGUUUUCGGAUUGUAAACCUCUAUCGUAGAGGACGAACACAAUGACGGUACUCUACAAGGAAGCCCCGGCUAACUACGUGCCAGCAGCCGCGGUAAUACGUAGGGGGCAAGCGUUGUCCGGAAUGACUGGGCGUAAAGGGCGUGUAGGCGGCCAUUUAAGUUAGGAGUGAAAGUCCUGCUUUCAAGGUGGGAAUUGCUUUUAAUUACUGGAUGGCUUGAGUGCGGAAGAGGUAAGUGGAAUUCCCAGUGUAGCGGUGAAAUGCGUAGAGAUUGGGAGGAACACCAGUGGCGAAGGCGACUUACUGGGGCCGCAACUGACGCUGAGGCGCGAAAG